Molecule: ribosomal RNA, 168 nt
Filed under: Thelephoraceae sp.
Lineage: Eukaryota; Fungi; Basidiomycota; Agaricomycetes; Thelephorales; Thelephoraceae
Description: partial large subunit ribosomal RNA
Rfam family: Eukaryotic large subunit ribosomal RNA
Source: RNAcentral
CGGGAAAAGCUCAAAUUUAAAAUCUGGCGUCCUUUGGGCGUCCGAGUUGUAGUCUAGAGAAGCGUUUUCUGUGUCGGACCGUGUAAAAGUCCCCUGGAAUUGGGCAUCAUAGAGGGUGAGAAUCCCGUCUUUGACACGGACUGCCGGUGCUCUGUGAUGCGCUCUCAA